Molecule: transfer-messenger RNA, 336 nt
Filed under: human gut metagenome
Rfam family: transfer-messenger RNA
About the family: Bacterial tmRNA, also known as 10Sa RNA or SsrA, is named for its dual tRNA and mRNA-like properties.
Source: RNAcentral
GGGGUAGUAAAGGUUUCGACGGGGUAAUUGAAGUUGGAGAAGCUAUCCGCAGGCAUGCGUUAAUUCCAAAAUUAAAAAUAAACGCUGAAGAUAAUUUAGCAUACGCUGCCUAAUGGCAGCUGUCAGCCUUAGUGCACCUACACAUUAAGAAUCUGGCAUCGACCAUGUAGGAAACGACAUAUAUUAAGCUUUGCGUAUAUGGGCGUAUUAUGAAGCUACUAAAGUCAGAAGAAUGUUCAUUUUCGUCUGAUGGAGGGAAUGUCAAAUAAUGAAAUAUGAUAGUAGAAGUACAAUGAAUGUUAUUUCGGACACGGGUUCGAUUCCCGUCUACUCCAU